GGGGACGUUAUGGAUUCGACAGGUGUAGUCGAGCUUGGAUUGCGCUUCGUAGGUUACGGCUACGUUAAAACGUUACAGUUAAUUAUAACUGCAAAAAAUAAUAAUAAUUCUUACGCCUUAGCUGCCUAACCGUAGCGUUGCGUAGAUCCGCCUAUCAUCGCCCAUGUGGUGGAUACGGGUCUUAAAUUAAGUGGGCUACGUGCAAUCUUCCCACCUGAAAGAUUGUAAAGAGAUUAUCAGGUUAGCUAGUUAAUGGUUGCCUUGUCAUCUGGCGUUUUUGACUAGUGAACUUCUAAAUGAGAUGACUAUGAGCGUAGAGUUCUAAGUGGCGGUACGCCUGGACGCGGGUUCGACUCCCGCCGUCUCCAUAA
This 371-nucleotide transfer-messenger RNA is filed under the name Loigolactobacillus backii. RNAcentral's name for it is "Standard tmRNA". It matches the Rfam family "transfer-messenger RNA". From Rfam's summary of the family: Bacterial tmRNA, also known as 10Sa RNA or SsrA, is named for its dual tRNA and mRNA-like properties. Its role is to liberate the mRNA from a stalled ribosome. The record is from Rfam by way of RNAcentral. Lineage: Bacteria; Bacillati; Bacillota; Bacilli; Lactobacillales; Lactobacillaceae.